GGUUGUGUUUUGUUACCACCAUCUUUAGUUAACACAAAGUAGAUUGAAUACUGAAACGAUGUAAACAGAAAUUCUUCAUCCCUCUGAUCACGUCGAAAGAUCCUGGUUGGAAGCAUAAAUGACAUCGUGGUAGAGAUUUUUGAACCACAACUCAUCGAAAGGCUGCUACUGCCGCGGCUGUGGCAAUAGUCCUAGUGGUUCUCCAGUCCCAUCGCAAGCCGGGAGCCUGGCGACUAAGCCAGUAUCGUAGGAUUCCAUGCGCUUCCAUGUCAGUACGUCGAAGGGAUCAUUGCCAUGAUUACCUGCAGAGAAUUCUCGUCUUAAUCUUGGAAAAGCUCGUAUUGUCGUCUCCUAUUACUCUUAACUGUUCAAUAUUUGGUUAGCCUCCAACCAGCUGGCCAUGUAAUCCAUUAUCUUUGAAUGCGUAUCUGGAAAGUGUCUGGUUGUAAUCGAAAAGGAACUGCAGACUCGCCCAGAAGGAUGCAGGAACUACGUGAGAAGUCGCGAGGAUCCCGGUGGCCGCGAAGAAGCCUGGCAAAUGUUGAGCCUUUAUUGCCUGUGAAAUUAGUAUUUAUGAGUGGAGCGGAAGUCGAAUAGGCGUCCUGGGAGGCCGGGAGACGGUGGCCCGGAUAUUAGACAUGAUUAAGGCACCUGAAACAUUUGCAAUAAAAUUGAAUUAUGACUUUUAAUAUUGGCAAAACAAACAAAAAAAUGAAAGAGGAAAAUAUAGAGAAGGAAAAAGGAAACAUGAUAAAAUAAAACAGCCACCACCAAUCGCUGGAAAUUCGCAGAAAUUGUAUGAAAGUGAGUUGGGGGAGUGAGGUCUGUGCCAUCUCAAAAAGGGGCUUGUUGCCAAUUACAAUUUACUUUAAUGGCCAAGGCUAAUGUCUCGAAAGCCGGGGGG
Molecule: long non-coding RNA, 904 nt
Organism: Drosophila ananassae
Lineage: Eukaryota; Metazoa; Arthropoda; Insecta; Diptera; Drosophilidae
Exons: 3
Source: RefSeq, a predicted model, not a curated record